This 400-nucleotide ribosomal RNA is filed under the name uncultured bacterium. RNAcentral describes it as "bacterial SSU rRNA". It matches the Rfam family "Bacterial small subunit ribosomal RNA", at positions 355 to 774 of the family's 1533-position model. The record is from RNAcentral.
UUAGGAAUCUUCCACAAUGGGCGAAAGCCUGAUGGAUCGACGCCGCGUGAGGGAUGAAGGCCUUAGGGUUGUAAACCUCUAAAAGAGGGACGAUAAUGACGGUACCUCUUUAAUAUCACCGGCUAACUCCGUGCCAGCAGCCGCGGUAAUACGGAGGGUGCAAGCGUUAUCCGGAAUCACUGGGCGUAAAGGGCGCGUAGGCGGUCUGUUAAGUCCGAUGUUAAAUCCCGGGGCUCAACCCCGGAUAAGCGUUGGAUACUGGCAGGCUAGACGGUUGGAGAGGCGAGUGGAAUUACCAGUGUAGCGGUGGAAUGCGUAGAUACUGGUAGGAACACCCAUUGCGAAGGCAGCUCGCUGGACAACACGUGACGAUGAGGCGCGAAAGUGUGGGGAGCAAACC